CCUACGGGAGGCAGCAGUAGGGAAUCUUUCACAAUGGGCGAAAGCCUGAUGGAGCAACGCCGCGUGCAGGAUGACGGCCUUCGGGUUGUAAACUGCUUUUAUAAGCGAGAAAUAUGAUGGUAACUUAUGAAUAAGGAUCGGCUAACUACGUGCCAGCAGCCGCGGUCAUACGUAGGAUCCGAGCAUUAUCCGGAGUGACUGGGUGUAAAGAGUUGCGUAGGUGGCAUAAUAAGUAGCUAGUGAAAUCUGGUGGCUCAACCAUUAAGACUAUUGGCUAAACUGUUAAGCUCGAGACCGUUAGGGGUAACUGGAAUUUCUAGUGUAGGAGUGAAAUCCGUAGAUAUUAGAAGGAACACCAAUAGCGUAGGCAGGUUGCUGGGACGGUUCUGACACUAAGGCACGAAAGCGUAGGGAGCAAACGGGAUUAGAUACCCGGGUAGUC
Molecule: ribosomal RNA, 442 nt
Filed under: uncultured bacterium
Lineage: Bacteria
Description: partial 16S ribosomal RNA
Rfam family: Bacterial small subunit ribosomal RNA
Source: RNAcentral